CUGGUGCUGGAUCUAUGAUGAUCGUAAAUGUUGAGCUUUAUAAAGUUUAUUUUGACACGAGAAAAAAGAACAUGGCAUUAUCUCAAAAUCUGAGAUAAUCUAUGUUUUUAAAGAAUAGAAGCCUUCACAGGAUCUGACGUUUUUUUCCCAAUGAAGGAAAAGGAAAAGGAUGUCUUCAUUAAAUGAACAAGACAAAAACAUCAUCUACUCUCAUCAUCACUGUCAUCAACGAACACUAUAACACCGUGAAUGGCUUCCUAAUUGCAUGGAGGAGAGCUGAGGACACGCAGUAGCAGUGCUUCCAGACAGUAAAGAAAGGAAAGCGUUUGUAAACUUGACAGGCUGCUGCAUCUCUGUUCUCUGAAGAAGUCUUCAAUCCUGCAACUCAUAUUGUGGUUUCCUUUCCUUUUGCUGCAUCCCCUAGGACCUGCGUAUACUGUCUACCAUGAUAUGAGCAGAAGAAGAAACACAACAAAUAUAUAUUUUAUGUAUUGAACAAAAUAUUUCUUAUACGCAUAUACAGUUGCAGAUUUGCCAGGUAUUGAGAUCAUGAGCUACUUUUGUAGUUAGGCUCUGGGUUGUUUUGUUUUAUUUCUAAUCUCUUCCCAUCAGCCUACCAAACUCUAAAAAUAAAUGAUGGACUCUACAUCAUGCAGAGGUGGGAAGCAACUGAAAUCAUCUGAAAUCAUCACCAAAAUCCGACAUGAUGCACACAAUUAUCUCUCUGGGGGUCAACAAGCGAACCGGCGCGAUUGUGGCAAAAUAAAUAGUAGAAAUUUGUGUCUAUGCCUAAAUAGUCUUAACCCCCAAAACAUCUUAGCAUCAGUUUAUUGCAUACAUCAUUUUUUAUCAUCUGUCAUCUAAAAUUUCUAAAAAAAAAA
Silurus meridionalis is the source of this 881-nucleotide long non-coding RNA. RefSeq lists it as uncharacterized. The record is from RefSeq and is a predicted model, not a curated record. NCBI's taxonomy places the organism in Eukaryota, Metazoa, Chordata, Actinopteri, Siluriformes, Siluridae. The transcript is spliced from 3 exons.